UACGUAGGGUGCAAGCGUUGUCCGGAUUUAUUGGGCGUAAAGAGCUUGUAGGCGGUUUGUCGCGUCUGCUGUGAAAUUUCGGGGCUCAACCCCGAACUUGCAGUGGGUACGGGCAGACUAGAGUGUGGUAGGGGAGACUGGAAUUCCUGGUGUAGCGGUGAAAUGCGCAGAUAUCAGGAGGAACACCGAUGGCGAAGGCAGGUCUCUGGGCCAUAACUGACGCUGAGAAGCGAAAGCGUGGGGAGCGAACAGG
RNAcentral lists this ribosomal RNA (253 nucleotides) under uncultured bacterium. Its description in RNAcentral is "partial 16S ribosomal RNA". It matches the Rfam family "Bacterial small subunit ribosomal RNA", at positions 524 to 776 of the family's 1533-position model. The record is from RNAcentral.